Molecule: ribosomal RNA, 565 nt
Filed under: Cryptosporidium bovis
Lineage: Eukaryota; Apicomplexa; Conoidasida; Eucoccidiorida; Cryptosporidiidae
Description: SSU rRNA
Rfam family: Eukaryotic small subunit ribosomal RNA
Source: RNAcentral
UAACGGGGAAUUAGGGUUCGAUUCCGGAGAGGGAGCCUGAGAAACGGCUACCACAUCUAAGGAAGGCAGCAGGCGCGCAAAUUACCCAAUCCUAAUACAGGGAGGUAGUGACAAGAAAUAACAAUACAGAACCUUACGGUUUUGUAAUUGGAAUGAGUUAAGUAUAAACCCCUUAACAAGUAUCAAUUGGAGGGCAAGUCUGGUGCCAGCAGCCGCGGUAAUUCCAGCUCCAAUAGCGUAUAUUAAAGUUGUUGCAGUUAAAAAGCUCGUAGUUAAUCUUCUGUUAAUUUUUAUAUAUAAUAUCACGAUAUUUAUAUAAUAUUAACAUAAUUCAUAUUACUUUUUAGUAUAUGAAACUUUACUUUGAGAAAAUUAGAGUGCUUAAAGCAGGCUAUUGCCUUGAAUACUCCAGCAUGGAAUAAUAUUAAGGAUUUUUAUUCUUCUUAUUGGUUCUAGAAUAAAAAUGAUGAUUAAUAGGGACAGUUGGGGGCAUUUGUAUUUAACAGUCAGAGGUGAAAUUCUUAGAUUUGUUAAAGACAAACUACUGCGAAAGCAUUUGCCAAGG